RNAcentral lists this ribosomal RNA (2369 nucleotides) under Escherichia coli. RNAcentral's name for it is "bacterial LSU rRNA". It matches the Rfam family "Bacterial large subunit ribosomal RNA", at positions 593 to 2925 of the family's 2925-position model. Lineage: Bacteria; Pseudomonadati; Pseudomonadota; Gammaproteobacteria; Enterobacterales; Enterobacteriaceae. The record is from RNAcentral.
GUGACUGCGUACCUUUUGUAUAAUGGGUCAGCGACUUAUAUUCUGUAGCAAGGUUAACCGAAUAGGGGAGCCGAAGGGAAACCGAGUCUUAACUGGGCGUUAAGUUGCAGGGUAUAGACCCGAAACCCGGUGAUCUAGCCAUGGGCAGGUUGAAGGUUGGGUAACACUAACUGGAGGACCGAACCGACUAAUGUUGAAAAAUUAGCGGAUGACUUGUGGCUGGGGGUGAAAGGCCAAUCAAACCGGGAGAUAGCUGGUUCUCCCCGAAAGCUAUUUAGGUAGCGCCUCGUGAAUUCAUCUCCGGGGGUAGAGCACUGUUUCGGCAAGGGGGUCAUCCCGACUUACCAACCCGAUGCAAACUGCGAAUACCGGAGAAUGUUAUCACGGGAGACACACGGCGGGUGCUAACGUCCGUCGUGAAGAGGGAAACAACCCAGACCGCCAGCUAAGGUCCCAAAGUCAUGGUUAAGUGGGAAACGAUGUGGGAAGGCCCAGACAGCCAGGAUGUUGGCUUAGAAGCAGCCAUCAUUUAAAGAAAGCGUAAUAGCUCACUGGUCGAGUCGGCCUGCGCGGAAGAUGUAACGGGGCUAAACCAUGCACCGAAGCUGCGGCAGCGACGCUGAUGCGUUGUUGGGUAGGGGAGCGUUCUGUAAGCCUGUGAAGGUGUGCUGUGAGGCAUGCUGGAGGUAUCAGAAGUGCGAAUGCUGACAUAAGUAACGAUAAAGCGGGUGAAAAGCCCGCUCGCCGGAAGACCAAGGGUUCCUGUCCAACGUUAAUCGGGGCAGGGUGAGUCGACCCCUAAGGCGAGGCCGAAAGGCGUAGUCGAUGGGAAACAGGUUAAUAUUCCUGUACUUGGUGUUACUGCGAAGGGGGGACGGAGAAGGCUAUGUUGGCCGGGCGACGGUUGUCCCGGUUUAAGCGUGUAGGCUGGUUUUCCAGGCAAAUCCGGAAAAUCAAGGCUGAGGCGUGAUGACGAGGCACUACGGUGCUGAAGCAACAAAUGCCCUGCUUCCAGGAAAAGCCUCUAAGCAUCAGGUAACAUCAAAUCGUACCCCAAACCGACACAGGUGGUCAGGUAGAGAAUACCAAGGCGCUUGAGAGAACUCGGGUGAAGGAACUAGGCAAAAUGGUGCCGUAACUUCGGGAGAAGGCACGCUGAUAUGUAGGUGAAGUCCCUCGCGGAUGGAGCUGAAAUCAGUCGAAGAUACCAGCUGGCUGCAACUGUUUAUUAAAAACACAGCACUGUGCAAACACGAAAGUGGACGUAUACGGUGUGACGCCUGCCCGGUGCCGGAAGGUUAAUUGAUGGGGUCAGCGCAAGCGAAGCUCUUGAUCGAAGCCCCGGUAAACGGCGGCCGUAACUAUAACGGUCCUAAGGUAGCGAAAUUCCUUGUCGGGUAAGUUCCGACCUGCACGAAUGGCGUAAUGAUGGCCAGGCUGUCUCCACCCGAGACUCAGUGAAAUUGAACUCGCUGUGAAGAUGCAGUGUACCCGCGGCAAGACGGAAAGACCCCGUGAACCUUUACUAUAGCUUGACACUGAACAUUGAGCCUUGAUGUGUAGGAUAGGUGGGAGGCUUAGAAGUGUGGACGCCAGUCUGCAUGGAGCCGACCUUGAAAUACCACCCUUUAAUGUUUGAUGUUCUAACGUUGACCCGUAAUCCGGGUUGCGGACAGUGUCUGGUGGGUAGUUUGACUGGGGCGGUCUCCUCCUAAAGAGUAACGGAGGAGCACGAAGGUUGGCUAAUCCUGGUCGGACAUCAGGAGGUUAGUGCAAUGGCAUAAGCCAGCUUGACUGCGAGCGUGACGGCGCGAGCAGGUGCGAAAGCAGGUCAUAGUGAUCCGGUGGUUCUGAAUGGAAGGGCCAUCGCUCAACGGAUAAAAGGUACUCCGGGGAUAACAGGCUGAUACCGCCCAAGAGUUCAUAUCGACGGCGGUGUUUGGCACCUCGAUGUCGGCUCAUCACAUCCUGGGGCUGAAGUAGGUCCCAAGGGUAUGGCUGUUCGCCAUUUAAAGUGGUACGCGAGCUGGGUUUAGAACGUCGUGAGACAGUUCGGUCCCUAUCUGCCGUGGGCGCUGGAGAACUGAGGGGGGCUGCUCCUAGUACGAGAGGACCGGAGUGGACGCAUCACUGGUGUUCGGGUUGUCAUGCCAAUGGCACUGCCCGGUAGCUAAAUGCGGAAGAGAUAAGUGCUGAAAGCAUCUAAGCACGAAACUUGCCCCGAGAUGAGUUCUCCCUGACUCCUUGAGAGUCCUGAAGGAACGUUGAAGACGACGACGUUGAUAGGCCGGGUGUGUAAGCGCAGCGAUGCGUUGAGCUAACCGGUACUAAUGAACCGUGAGGCUUAACCUUACAACGCCGAAGCUGUU